UAGGGAAUCUUCCACAAUGGACGAAAGUCUGAUGGAGCAACGCCGCGUGAGUGAUGAAGGGUUUCGGCUCGUAAAACUCUGUUGUUGGAGAAGAACAGGUGAUAGAGUAACUGUUAUCAUCUUGACGGUAUCCAACCAGAAAGCCACGGCUAACUACGUGCCAGCAGCCGCGGUAAUACGUAGGUGGCAAGCGUUGUCCGGAUUUAUUGGGCGUAAAGCGAGCGCAGGCGGUUUUUUAGGUCUGAUGUGAAAGCCUUCGGCUUAACCGGAGAAGGGCAUCGGAAACCGGGAGACUUGAGUGCAGAAGAGGACAGUGGAACUCCAUGUGUAGCGGUGAAAUGCGUAGAUAUAUGGAAGAACACCAGUGGCGAAGGCGGCUGUCUGGUCUGUAACUGACGCUGAGGCUCGAAAGCAUGGGUAGCGAACAGGAUUAGAUACCCUGGUAGUCCAUGCCGUAAACGAUGAGUGCUAAGUGUUAGAGGGUUUUCCGC
RNAcentral lists this ribosomal RNA (491 nucleotides) under uncultured bacterium. RNAcentral's name for it is "partial 16S ribosomal RNA". It matches the Rfam family "Bacterial small subunit ribosomal RNA", at positions 355 to 838 of the family's 1533-position model. The record is from RNAcentral.